This 253-nucleotide ribosomal RNA is filed under the name uncultured bacterium. RNAcentral's name for it is "partial 16S ribosomal RNA". It matches the Rfam family "Bacterial small subunit ribosomal RNA", at positions 524 to 776 of the family's 1533-position model. The record is from RNAcentral.
UACGUAGGGGGCAAGCGUUGUCCGGAAUUAUUGGGCGUAAAGAGCGUGUAGGCGGUCCGGUAAGUCAGCUGUGAAAGUCAAGGGCUCAACCCUUGAAUGCCGGUUGAUACUGUCGGGCUAGAGUCCGGAAGAGGCGAGUGGAAUUCCAGGUGUAGCGGUGAAAUGCGUAGAUAUCUGGAGGAACACCGGUGGCGAAGGCGGCAUCCUGGACCAAUUCUGACGCUGAGGAGCGAAAGCCAGGGGAGCAAACGGG